AGACCAGACUCCUACGGGAGGCAGCAGUGGGGAAUAUUGCACAAUGGGGGAAACCCUGAUGCAGCGACGCCGCGUGAGUGAAGAAGUAUUUCGGUAUGUAAAGCUCUAUCAGCAGGGAAGAUAAUGACGGUACCUGACUAAGAAGCCCCGGCUAACUACGUGCCAGCAGCCGCGGUAAUACGUAGGGGGCAAGCGUUAUCCGGAUUUACUGGGUGUAAAGGGUGCGUAGGUGGCAUGGCAAGUCAGAAGUGAAAGCCCGGGGCUCAACCCCGCGGACUGCUUUUGAAACUGUCAGGCUGGAGUACAGGAGAGGUAAGCGGAAUUCCUAGUGUAGCGGUGAAAUGCGUAGAUAUUAGGAGGAACACCAGUGGCGAAGGCGGCCUGCUGGACUGUAACUGACACUGAGGCUCGAAAGCGUGGGGAGCAAACAGGAUUAGAUACCCCGGUAAG
RNAcentral lists this ribosomal RNA (450 nucleotides) under uncultured bacterium. RNAcentral's name for it is "bacterial SSU rRNA". It matches the Rfam family "Bacterial small subunit ribosomal RNA", at positions 328 to 793 of the family's 1533-position model. The record is from RNAcentral.